RNAcentral lists this non-coding RNA (24 nucleotides) under Cricetulus griseus (Chinese hamster). Lineage: Eukaryota; Metazoa; Chordata; Mammalia; Rodentia; Cricetidae. The record is from RNAcentral.
CUGAGCAAACAAUGAGAAUAGCAU